UGCCAGACUCCUACGGGAGGCAGCAGUGAGGAAUAUUGGUCAAUGGCCGAGAGGCUGAACCAGCCAAGUCGCGUGAGGGAUGACGGCCCUACGGGUUGUAAACCUCUUUUGCCGGGGAGCAAAGAGCGGGACGCGUCCCGCCUCGAGAGUACCCGGAGAAAAAGCAUCGGCUAACUCCGUGCCAGCAGCCGCGGUAAUACGGAGGAUGCGAGCGUUAUCCGGAUUUAUUGGGUUUAAAGGGUGCGCAGGCGGUCUGUUAAGUCAGCGGUCAAAGCCCGGGGCUCAACCCCGUACUGCCGUUGAAACUGCGUUUCUUGAGUGGGCGAGAAGUACGCGGAAUGCGUGGUGUAGCGGUGAAAUGCAUAGAUAUCACGCAGAACUCCGAUUGCGAAGGCAGCGUACCGGCGCCCAACUGACGCUCAUGCACGAAAGCGUGGGUAUCGAACAGGAUUAGAUACCCGGGUAAC
RNAcentral lists this ribosomal RNA (467 nucleotides) under uncultured bacterium. Its description in RNAcentral is "bacterial SSU rRNA". It matches the Rfam family "Bacterial small subunit ribosomal RNA", at positions 329 to 795 of the family's 1533-position model. The record is from RNAcentral.